GAACGGCGAUCUAAGCGGUUGAUGGCGAUGGGAUCAAGAGUUGAUCAAGGAUCGAAUCAAGGAGGCUUGGAACCAAUUCAAGAGUUGAAGACCAAUUGAUUGAUUGACGUGCAUGUGCUUGUAAUACGACCUAAUUAGAAUCCAUGAUCAUCACCUAUUUAAAAUUUGGUUUUAUUUGAUGCUGCGAUUAUAACUGCCUGUGAUGUGCCGUUUGCAUGUGAUGUGAAUGAGAGCGGGGUAGAUAGGUUUACAUGUGAUGU
This 260-nucleotide long non-coding RNA is filed under the name Phoenix dactylifera (date palm). Its description in RNAcentral is "long non-coding RNA (PDAC_LNC010759)". The record is from RNAcentral. Lineage: Eukaryota; Viridiplantae; Streptophyta; Magnoliopsida; Arecales; Arecaceae.